This 483-nucleotide unclassified non-coding RNA is filed under the name uncultured Mycoplasma sp. Its description in RNAcentral is "partial contains 16S ribosomal RNA, 16S-23S ribosomal RNA intergenic spacer, and 23S ribosomal RNA". The stretch from base 1 to 133 matches the Rfam family "Bacterial small subunit ribosomal RNA", at positions 1399 to 1533 of the family's 1533-position model. The record is from RNAcentral. Lineage: Bacteria; Bacillati; Mycoplasmatota; Mollicutes; Mycoplasmatales; Mycoplasmataceae.
ACACCAUGGGAGCUGGUAAUGCCCGAAGCCGGUUUGCUAACUUCGGAGGCAACUGUCUAAGGCAGGUCUGGUGACUGGGGUGAAGUCGUAACAAGGUAUCCCUACGAGAACGUGGGGAUGGAUCACCUCCUUUCUACGGAGAGUACAAUCUUUUAAUUUGGCAAUUUACCAAAAUCUUUAAUAUAAAUUUAUUAAAGUCUGUUAUGUGAAUGCGGCCAACAUUUGUUCAUAUCUAGUUUUGAGAGUUCUACUCUCUGAAUAAUAGUUCUUUGAAAACUGAAUACAUUAAUAUGAAAAGACAUCAAACAACAAAUUAGUUUUUAUAGUUUUAUAAAAAAUAAUUUUACUGAGUUAAGUUUAAAUAAAUAAUUAUUUAAAUGUCUUAAAAUACUUAAUCAACAACAAUAGGAAAAUACUAAUACUUAAAUAUUAAAUAAGUAAGAGUUUGUGGUGGAUGCCUUGGGUCUGAAAGUCGAUGAGGAU